This is a non-coding RNA of Procambarus clarkii (red swamp crayfish), 9354 nucleotides long. The record is from RefSeq and is a predicted model, not a curated record. Lineage: Eukaryota; Metazoa; Arthropoda; Malacostraca; Decapoda; Cambaridae.
UAGGUGAGAGCGGCGGUGGGUCGGCACAAGUGGCCUUCACGUUGUACACACACACACGUCUGUGUGGGGCGCUCCUCCUCCUCCUCCUACUACAACACAUGCUGCCCUAGCGGAGCCCAGAUUUCAAAAUGAAUUGGAGAGAUAGAAUUUCCAUAUUAUCAAGGAAGCGGAAUCAUGGAAGUGCUGGGCCUCCAUUAAACAGACUGAAUGACCUUCCAUCAAGUUCAGGGACCAUUACAAGUAACAAUAUUGCCUCCAACAGUGCCCCAGUGGAGAGUGUAGUGAACACUCUCUCACAGUUGCGUCCUGUUAUUGGUCCAGAUCUCAAAAGUUACUAUAUUUUAUUACGUGGGGAUGAAGAUUCAUUUACUUGCAUCCAGCCUGCUAUGGAUGUUAUAAACAGUUUAGAUGAAGUAGUAAAGAAUGUCAUUAAUACUCUAAUGUCAGGAAAGCAAUCAUUGCAAGUUGCAGAAUUACCUCCAAAUGCCAAAAAACCAAGAUAUAGUCAAGCUAAAACAUACACAAGUUCUUUAGCUCAUAGGCAAAUUAGUAGCAAUAGAAAAAAUGGAAUUCGUAAUUUGGGAUCAACAUUAUUAAAGGAAGAGAAAAGAGUGUCUAGUAUUAAUAUUGAAAACUUGUUCCUCGAUAAAGCUGAAAAUGGUGUAGUUACUUUUGAUUCAAACAAGGAUGUAGAAAAUGUUUUACUUCACAAAAGAGUACAAGAUCUUGAAAGCAAUGAACAGGAUCAAAUGGUGAGAACUACUUCAAUAUUGGAAAGUAGGUUGAAGUCUAAUGUGUUCGUUAAGAAUAAGCAGGAAUCGUGUUUGUUUAUCUCGAGUGACUGUGGAAGUGGAAACAUUUCAAACUUGCUAACAGUGCCCACUACUGAACCUGAUUUAAUUCAAAGCAUUGCUCAAAGUGUUUCAUCUGUAAGAAGGAGAGAUUAUAAGAAUAGUCAGAUUCGUGUAUUAAAUGAAGAUGAGAAUUAUGUGACUCCACAGGCUUACUUGAGUGAACCUUUAGGAACAAUAGAGUCCAUCUCAAAAGACCUAGAUUGCAUAAGUUCCAAUGCGAGAGACCUUGAUUGCAUAGGGUCUAACACGAGAAUCUUAGAUUGCAUAGGGUCGAACACGAGAGACCUAGAUUGCAUAGGGUCCAACACAAGAGACCUAGAUUACAUUGGGUCCAACACGAGAGACUUGGAUUGCAUAGGGUCCAACACGAGAAGCCUAGAUUGUGCCCCCACAACAUUGGGACCGAACGUACCACUAACAGAAUUGUCUCUCAUAGCCAAGGAAGGAACUGUGUUGACGGAGGAUGAGAUCACAUCACAGAUCAAAACCUUAAUAGAGUCAGAGCAGUUAGCUGUUGGAGAGAAGAACCAGAUUGUUGUAAUAAGAGUGUCAGCCCGUGAAGCUUUGGUGAAAAUUGUGCAAACUGAAACUGGAGCUGUGGAUGAACUGGCCCAACAUCAAGAAACAGAAGCUGUCCCAAAAUCCACUAUGAAUAGAUUGGAUUUUGGCAAGACCAAAGAACAUAUAGCUCCUGGUCUAAGGGAGACUGUGGCUCAGACUGCUGACUGUGUGAUACAUCCUCUGGUUGCUUCCCUUACUGAGCCUUUGACUAAUGAGGAGCAACAGGAGGACGAUGAGCUUGCAAAACUACACUCGGUUUACAAGGCCGGCUCUCCCCACCUCGCGAGUCAAGUUGAUGUGUUGGAAACCUUUAGUGAUUCUUUGAUAGGCGGAGCAGGAGGGGAAAUUGUUGUGUUCCAGAGGGAAGAUGGAGAAUUUGUAAAUCAGGAUGGAACACCAGUGUCUAGUGAACUUCAGUAUUUGAUUACCAGUUCUCAACAAGACUUGACCUUAGACCCUGAAGAUGAUCACACUGAUCAAUUGUUUGUGCCUCCUGACCACUUUGAACAUCAUAUAGUAGAUGUUAAUUCAGGAUUAUGAUUAUAUACAAUAACAAUUAAGGGAAGUCAGUGUGGAAAAACACAAGAAUUAAAUAUAAAUGUUGCAAAAUUGCAGGUUUCAAGAAUGUAUGUAUGUGCAUGUGUGCGUGUGCCAUAGUCCCACCGAAACAAAGCUUCUUGGCCAUGCAAGUUUCUAUGUACUUGUGUGGUGUGAUCUCAUUACUCAAGGUUUGUCAUUAAUUUUUCUUUUGUCAGAAGACAUUGUUGAUCAAAAGUAGUAGUACUAAAAAUUACUGUAUUGAGAAAAGUGAACAAGGUUGGGGCGUGAUUACCUACAUUCUGCUUACAUUGAAUUUCCAGGAUAAGACUGAUCUUCAGAAGGAUUACCUGUCGAGGAUUCUGAGGAUCAACGUCCCUGCAGCCUGGUCUCUGACCAGGCCUCGUGGUUGGUGGGCUGGUCAACCAGGCUGUUUAAUGUAGCUGCUUGCAGCCUGAUGCAUGAGUCACAACCUGGUUGAUCAGGUCUCAUUGAAGGUGUUUGUCAAGCAAAGUAAGGAUAAGUAAAAAAAUAUUAUAUUUUUCAGUAUACUGGUAGUAUUUUUGAAAUGUAUUGUUUAAGUUUACUUGUGUUUUCAACCACUGCAAAGCUUUGUUGUACCAUUUGCUGUAAGAAAAUUCCUAAAAUAUCCUUGAUAACAAAAAAAUUCUCUAGUUGAUGUAAUGCAAAUCAUAGUUUGUUGGACCAGAUCUGAUCACACUUAGCUUUUAUAAUUGAGGCUCUGUUGGACUUUAUUUAUAUUUAUAAUUGAGUGGGUAUGGAGAAAUUGCCAAAUCUGCAUUUGAUAGUGUUACUCUGCCAGAGUAUUGGAAACAAAAUCUGUAAUUGUAUCACUAAUAUGAGAGAGUAGUAAUAAGAAUUAUAUAAGGAUUAGUCUACUAUGCAGAUGAUGAGUCACAAUAACGUAGCUGAAGUUUGACUGAAGACUGAGGUCGAUUGACAAUCGAUUUGAUAAGGGUCCAGGAUGGACUAAAACGUUGUCGUCUCUUCAGUUUCUAGCGUGUUGUUUGGUCAACACUAGUCUACUAGGUGCAGUGGCCAAAGUAUCUGGCAGGAUAGUGAUCAAAAGAAUACAGGAAAUAAAUAAGAAAUGGGUCAGUGAUGAAUAAGGUAGGUUCUGUGGUGGAGGAUUGUGUGUAUCACGUACAUUAUUUGUUUUGAGAUACAGUACAGUAGUUGUAAAGAAGGCAUAUGAGAAUGAUUGUAAGGUGUAUAUGGCCACGAUGAACUUUGAAAGACGCAUAAGGCAAAGUUAGAGAAAGACUUGGGAGCAGGAUAAGCAUGCAUGGAGUUGGCAGAGCUUUGUUAAAUGGAAUGUUUAUUUUAUAUGGAAGAAGCAGUGCAUAUGUGAAAGUAUAGUAAAUGAAUGGUUUGAUAAUUAUGUAGGUGUAUGCCAGAGCUGUAUGAUAUGCUCUUGCUUGAUCAAUCUACACAUGGAUGGGGCCAAAAGGGAGGCUGAUAGAAGAGCAUUGAAGGAAGGUGUAAACCUAGUGUAUCCUGUAUAUCUAAUGUAUUGCAAUUGGAUUAUGUUAAAAUUUAUGUAUACAGGUGGUACAUUAUUUUUGCAGCCCAGUUGAAAGUUUUAUUGAUGUAUGGGAGAAGACUUAAGUGAAUGUGGAAAAAAAGUAAAGAUUUGGUUGUAAUAAGAAAAGAAAAUUUAAUGGGAAAAGAAUUUGCAUGAUCAAAUCUUCAAUCUGUAUAAAUACCUGGAAUGUGUGAUUGAUAAAAAAAAAAAGGAAUUUGUGUAAUCAAAUUGACGUUUUUUCCUUGGCCUUCCUCCUUCCAUCAUAACAGAUCAUGGGAAAUGGUUUUGUCUAGGUUACAUAUUGGUCACACCUGCUUAACUCGUGGUCAUUUAAUGAAGCAACGUAAUGCUCCUUCUUGUCUAACCUGUAUUGUCCCACUUAGUCGUGCAUCUCCAUGUAACAUACCCUAAUUUUCGAGAUCAUAUCUUGCUUUCCUAAUAUACCUAGAGGUCACUAGUUCCUUAGUAGAAUCCUUGAUGAAUUUAAUACCUUUGAUAUUGCUCACCUUAUGUCCUUUUUGUUCUAUUGGCAUCUCGAGUGAUAUUUAGCUUCUUUUGAAUAUACAGUGGCACAAACGGUGCUACAUAGUCUUCACGGCUUGGCACUUUUUUAAUACUUGAUAAUUCAAAAGGAACACCAUACACUUAAUUUUAUGAAGUGAUGGGAUGCUGCUGUUAAUAAUAGCUAGAGUGUGAAAGUGCUUGUUUAUCCAUGGUGCUAUUUAGUCUGAAUGUUGUAAUGAAUGGACAAGUAAUAUAUAUUUUGCAAUAUCAAAUUUUUCACUAUAUUCCAUCUUUUUUCAAGUAGUGCCAUCCAACCUUAUGAUAGUGGGAGACAGGAUAAUGGGUGUAAUAAUUGCUAGAUUAGGUUGACAGCUAAAUGAAAUACUGGUUGCUUUAUCUUUUGGUAAUUAAGCUUCAUACUGUAGUAGUCAUCUCUCACUUGUGACAUCCAUGUUGGUAGAUACUGUACUGUAGUCACUCAGUAUUGUUAUACUUGAAUGACCCUUUUAUCUUCACUCUACUAAUAUGCUCUCUUGUUUUGAGUGUCAUAUAUGAAAAUAGUAUGUCUUUUGUGUAUGUACUCAACUACACGUAGACCCCAACUUACACCACGACUCAAGUCAUCGUCCUCACAGUUGCUUCAGAGAAGUCCUAUCUCACUUUCUGUUGAUUCCCCUCAUUAAAUACCUGGUCAAUUGGCAGGAAUAGCAGUCCAAACCACUUCAGUGCUCCCACUUGGUAUGAGGAUGUAUUAUCUGAGGCUUGCCUUUCACCCCCCCCUCCCCCCCAACAUACGCUAAGUGCAGGCUAAGGCGUUUCACACAUUAAAGAUAGUCUCCUGUACUGUACUAUAGAUGAUUAUGCCUAAUACCUCUGUCCCUUGUGUAUCUCCUUUAACAUUAUGAUGUAAUUGAUUCGUUUAUAUCUGUGUUAGUAUUCUGUCUAAUAUGUUUUCUUUAUCACUAGCCUUACAUUUGGUAGUGGUAUAUGAAAGUCACAAAAGGGAUUGAAGUGUUGAUAGUCCAGUUGUAACCUUGGAUGUUUCUGUUUACAAUGAUUUUAAUGAAUAAAGACACUGGAUAUGGAGUAUUAACCUGCAGCUCUCUUCAAAUUAAUACUCAUAUGCACAAAGCUGUGAUAUCAAUAUAAUUAAGCAAUACUAAAUAAUAUAAGUGAUGGUAAUGUCUUCUCACAGACAUAAUAAUAUAAGAUAAAAACCCACGCUUAUUUAUUUAUUUGUUUGUGAAAUUUAUGUAAUGAAUUACACCAAGUCUUUCACACACUCCUGAGUGCUUUGUCAAGGUCUGAGUAUCUGGUUAGGAUGAGACUUGCAUUGCAAUGACUAAAAUCAACGACUUUAUGGCUAUUAUUUCAGAAAUACAUAAGUGUGGGGUUUCAUACUAAGUAACUUUGUAUUAAUAAUUUUUUGCCUCAAAUAUUAAGUUAUAUCAUAAACUUACCUCUUGGGUACCAACUUAGCAUGACAGAAUGGUACUUGUAUGCCAUUUCUGGGCUUUGAGGGGGAUUGCAUUGGCCUGUCUGUUGAAGGAGCCACCCUUAGUAGGUGGAUAUAGGUGUUCAGGCUAGGGAGCUAGAAGAAAAAAAGAUUUUUAUACUGGCAUGAGCAAAUUAUUGACAUCAAUGGUCUUCCUUGGGGAAAAAAAAGUGCCAUUAGAUGAGGUAUGCUGUCUGCACUGAUUCAACUCCCCAUUCUGCCCUGGUACGUAGUAUCCCAUGACCCCCAGAAUUCAACCUUUUUUUUAUCAUAAAUUUGUGUCUUGACCUGCUAUAAUGUCUUGAAAUUAUAGUACUGUAUGUCCUGAAUUUACCUGUGAGCCAUCAUCUCUAAAGGCUUCCACAGGGACAGGAACAGUAUGCAGUAUUAUUUUGUCAUUUAUGGCUUCAGCAUGUAUACAAUUCGAUGGGUGAAAAAAUUUGUCUGCUCUACAUUGUGGCUUGGAGAACUUGAAGUUGUUGUCUCUUGUGUGUGUUACACUGGAAGUUUUAAAUAAAUGAUCAGGAUUAAUACUGUGUCCUUCAAUUUGUUGAAUAUUUUAAAGGUCUCAACACCUUUAUAUAUAUACUGUAAUAGGGUUAGUAAAACUAAAAAGUUUUACUAACUAAAGUCCUUUUGAAAAUUAAAUCUGUGCUUGGAUACAGUAGUUCGGAUGGAGACACCAGAAUUUGUACAGCUGAAUUACCACUUUCUUUUCAUAUAAAGAAAAAGGUUCAUUUGAUUUGUUGUUGUUGUUAUUAUAGAUUCAGCUACUCGGAACAAGUUCCAAGUAGCACAGGCUAUGGUGAGCCCGUAACUUACCUGGCACAGGAGCGGGGCAAGUAGCAUGGGCUAUGGUGAGCCCCUAGUGGACUUACCCGACACAGGAGCGGUGCUGUGUGUUCAUUUGAUUAUUCCUGUGGUUUGAAUGGGCAUUUUGUUAUUGUAGCUCCUACUUGCCGAGCAACUCUUAGAUGACUGGUGGAAGAUUACCGUCAUGUCCUUUUCUUUGUUGUCCUGCUGCCGGGUCAUGGCUUCUGAUAUAUUAGUUAUAAUUUGCAUUUUUGUUCACAACAUACAAGGUCUUGCAUUUUUCAACACUGAAAGGUAUUUGAAAGGUAUUUACUAGUCUUUUGACCAUUUGUGAUGUUUAUGUAGUUGUUUUGCAAGGCCUCAAUAUAAUUUUUGCAGUUUUAAUAAUAUUCUAAGUGAUGGUAACAUCAUGUGCUAGAUUUGAGCAUGUUAUAUAUUACCAUACAGUAUACAGCACAAAUUUAUCUAUGAUACUUCUUUAUACAAAAAUGGUCUAUAAGUAUAAUAUUGGUCAUUUGCCUGUGUUAAGCAUUUAAAACAAGCAUACUUAAUCCUUAAUUAAAACAUUAACAUGAGAAGUAGAAUCAGUAAGUCGAAUUCCAACAGCCGUUGUUGAGUUCGUUUCAGACAUUUGUAUACUGACAAUAUUGUACAGUAUUGCAUUGACUUGCUAAUAUUAGUGUUCUUCUAUUCAAUUUUGUACAAAUAUUUUUCAAAAUAUUGAAUUCAUAUACAGUAUUGUAGUAAUUAGAUUUUGUCUUUUUUUCUAACCUGUAUGCAUGUGUGUAUAUGAAAACCUAUCAACCCAUUUUCCCCUCUUUUUACACACGUGUGUGGAUAUUGUAUUUUAUAUACAUCACUCUCUCUUACAAGCUCAAUUUUUAUGAAUGCUCUUUUUGCAUUUAUUUUCCAAGAUAUAUUUUUAGUAAAUCAGUUAAGGAAACUUUGCAAAAACUUUUGUUAAAAUUUUCUCUAAUUGUCUGAUAUUAGCCUCUUGUUUUUCUGAAUGUAUUCUGGGUAGGUUACAUAUUGAUCACACAUAAUUAACUCGUGGACACGUAAUGGAACAAAGGCCUGCACUUUACUGUCAGAACUGCAUUGUCCCCACUUACAGUUGUGCACUUAUAGAAUGUAAUGAUUUUCAGGAUGAUUAGAAAUCCUAUUUUCCCAAUGUCACUACAAGUCAUUUGUCUUUGUUAAUAAUCUGAUACCUUAAACAUUGUUUUACUCUCAUAUUAGCAUCUAAAAGUAUAUACUUGGUAUAAGAAUUUGUGACUGUUUUGUGCCACAGACAGUGCUAAAUAGGCUGCCAGGCUCAGUGUCUUCUCUUGAUAAUUGUUUAUUUGCUCAUGUGUAUACAUCCACAGCUCACCCAUUAGAGCUCUUGCCAUGUCAUCCUGGAUCAUAGGACAGCCUUUUUGUCAGUAGCCAUUACGGUAUUCUCAGGAAUGGAAACUGCAAAAUAUCAGGCAGUACCACAGAUAUUUGUGCAUAGAUGAAUUUGUUUAUGGAUAACUAUAGUGUUAGUGCACUGGAGAAUGGUGUGUGUAUGUUGUGAGAGAGUACAGUGUGUGUGUGUGUGUUUAUUGGGGAAGGGUAUGGAAUGUGUGUGUGUUUGUGGGGAAGGGGGUGUAAUUGGAUGCUUAUGUUUCAGUAACUGGAAGAGAGGUCUUUCCCCACCUACUUGCUGUGUUGCCUCUGUUGCAUUAAUUAUAGGUGUGUGUGUGUGUUGGAAAGGCAUUAAUUAUAGGGGUGUGUGUGUUGGAAAGGCAUUAAUUAUAGGUGUGUGUGUGUGUUGGAAAGGCAUUAAUUAUAGGGGGGUGUGUGUGUUGGAAAGGGUAUAGGAUAUUUCUGAGCUGGGGAAGGAUAUAGGGUGUGUGCUUGUAAGAGUAAAUUGAAGUAAGGGAUGCAGUAUGCUGCUGGAAUUGUUUUGUUAACUCAUAAUUUUUAUUUAUUUAGGCUUCUGUAUGAGUAUGAACACUUAUUUUGGAGUUUAAUGGGCAUUAUACUGUACUCGAUAUAAUUCAAAUUCAAAAUUCAAAAAAUUCAAAUGUUUAUUCAGGUAAAGUACAUAUAUACAAGGGGUGAUAUAUUGCUGAAUUUAUAGAUAGAGCUACAGGUAGUGCCUAAAGCCACUAUUAUGCAAAGCGUUUCAGGCAGGAAACGCCCAAAUGAAAUAGUACUGUAUGUCUCAUGGUUAAGCUUAUUUUGACUUGUAUAUACAGUAUAAGGAAUCUUUAUUCUUUGUAAUAUUGUGAAAGAAAUUAAUACACUGUACUGUAUGUGUUUUGUGAAAUAUAUAAAAAGAAAAGUAUAUACGCGUACACUAUACAGACAACUACUGUAUAUUCUUUCCAGACACAGACUGCAACUAUCAGAGAAACCUAUUUUCCAAUAUAAAUAAAUGUUCUGAAAUACAGUAUUCAGUUAAAAAAUCAACUAAAAGAACUUGUGCUGUGAUUUCAGAAAUGUUAAUAUGUAAGUUUAUACUACAUAAACAGUACAAGAUAUUCACUUGUAAACAUGUUUUUUUUAUAUACAGUAUUUACUUCCUUCUAGCAUUCCAUUAUAAUGAAUUGUACACAUUUGAAAGAAAGUGUAAUUUUUAUGAAUUUUGACUAAGAAGUUUUGCAUACUGUAUAUUUGAGCCUACUUCGAGAGAGGCAAAUAAACUAGCCACCUGAAAUAUGGGUAAAUGUUAAAAGCUAUAGAUCAUCGCUAACCUUUGAGUGUGCCUUGCAUAGUUUUCAUGGGUAUUCAAACUAUUGUAUCCAUUAAUUUUUAUUGGGAUUUUAUAUUUAUCCUCUGGAUGGAUACAUCUAGCCUUAGAGUCCAAGUCAGUCUUGAUGUUAAGGGAAGAGUCAAUGUCAGCCAGAUAAUUCCCAGCAUUUCUUAUUACAAUUGUAUAUACAAUACAGUAUUUGUGUCAUUUGUAACUUUUCAUAAUGAGACAAAUCAUUCAAAUAUAUUUUAAUUUUUGUCUAAGAGUGUCACUUAUGUUUAUUGAUAUUUUUGUAUAAUAUUGAAAACAAAUAUAGAUGGUU